This 602-nucleotide ribosomal RNA is filed under the name uncultured bacterium. Its description in RNAcentral is "bacterial SSU rRNA". It matches the Rfam family "Bacterial small subunit ribosomal RNA", at positions 244 to 842 of the family's 1533-position model. The record is from RNAcentral.
GCUAGUCGGCGGGGUAACGGCCCACCGAGGCGACGAUGCGUAGGGGUUCUGAGAGGAAGGUCCCCCACACUGGUACUGAGACACGGACCAGACUCCUACGGGAGGCAGCAGUGAGGAAUAUUGGUCAAUGGGCGCGAGCCUGAACCAGCCAAGUCGCGUGAGGGAUGACGGUCCUACGGAUUGUAAACCUCUUUUGCCGGGGAGCAAGCGUGCGUUCGUGAACGCGCGUCGAGAGUACCCGGAGAAAAAGCAUCGGCUAACUCCGUGCCAGCAGCCGCGGUAAUACGGAGGAUGCGAGCGUUAUCCGGAUUUAUUGGGUUUAAAGGGUGCGUAGGCGGGAUGCCAAGUCAGCGGUAAAAAUGCGGUGCUCAACGCCGUCGAGCCGUUGAAACUGGCGUUCUUGAGUGGGCGAGAAGUAUGCGGAAUGCGUGGUGUAGCGGUGAAAUGCAUAGAUAUCACGCAGAACUCCGAUUGCGAAGGCAGCAUACCGGCGCCCUACUGACGCUGAGGCACGAAAGCGUGGGUAUCGAACAGGAUUAGAUACCCUGGUAGUCCACGCAGUAAACGAUGAAUGCUAACUGUCCGGCUCGAAUGAGCGCUGG